UUUGAAAUCUGGCUUCGGCCCGAGUUGUAAUUUGCAGAGGAUGUUUCUGGCGCGGUGCCUUCCGAGUUCCCUGGAACGGGACGCCACAGAGGGUGAGAGCCCCGUAUGGUUGGACACCAAGCCUGUGUGAAACUCCUUCGACGAGUCGAGUAGUUUGGGAAUGCUGCUCAAAAUGGGAGGUAAAUCUCUUCUAAAGCUAAAUACCGGCCAGAGACCGAUAGCGCACAAGUAGAGUGAUCGAAAGAUGAAAAGCACCUUGAAAAGGGGGUUAAACAGUACGUGAAAUUGUUGAAAGGGAAGCGCUUGUGACCAGACUUGCGCCGGGCGGUUCAUCCGGGGUUCUCCCCGGUGCACUCCGCCCGGCUCAGGCCAGCAUCGGUUUUCGUUGGGGGAUAAGAACGGCAGGAACGUGGCCCUCCUUCGGGUGGGUGUUAUAGCCUGCCGUACGAUACCCUGACGGGGACCGAGGUUCGCGCUCCGCAAGGAUGCUGGCGUAAUGGUCAUCAGCGACCCGUCUUGAAACACGGACCAAGGAGUCGUCCAUUAGAGCGAGCGUUUGGGUGUCAAACCCGCACGCGUAA
Molecule: ribosomal RNA, 581 nt
Filed under: Cryphonectria parasitica (chestnut blight fungus)
Lineage: Eukaryota; Fungi; Ascomycota; Sordariomycetes; Diaporthales; Cryphonectriaceae
Description: partial large subunit ribosomal RNA
Rfam family: Eukaryotic large subunit ribosomal RNA
Source: RNAcentral